This 1498-nucleotide long non-coding RNA is filed under the name Podarcis muralis (Common wall lizard). RNAcentral's name for it is "lncRNA (ENSPMRG00000009009.1)". Lineage: Eukaryota; Metazoa; Chordata; Lepidosauria; Squamata; Lacertidae. The record is from RNAcentral.
AUGCCAGGAAUUCAGUAUGCAAAGCCUGUGUUCUACCCCACAACUAUGGUUCUUUCCCUGUUUGGGAGGAGGGGUAUGGUCCUUGAACUGAUCUUUGUGGUAUGUCUAUUCAGUGACUCCAUGGAGACUUCAGAAGACGACAGCAAAGAGCAAGCUCUUGUUGCUGAGCAGGAGUCUAAUGAUGCAGUUUCGCACACAUGUGGGGAUCCCCAGAGCAUUUCUGAAAACAAAAUGGUAGAAACCUUGACAGCUUGCAUCAAAGAGAUCCUGCUAUACUUUUUACCCAAAUGCAAUCUUACAAGAGAACAUCUUUCUUCUAUGACCCCUGAAGACAUUUUAUCUAUGUUCAAGCUGAACAGGGAUUCUGAGCGGAGUAAGGCUGUGCCUGUGGACAUAAUUCAGUAUUUUUCGCAAUAUGAUGAACAACUUUUUGAAAAACUCCUGUCUAUAAAGCAGCAUGGGCUUCUAGCCAAACAUGCUGCCGAAAAAAAGAUUAGUCUGUGCGGGACGCAAAUAAAAGCGACAGAAGAACGAAUUAAGCAUCUGCAGGAGAAAGUGGCACAAUUUCUACUGCGCAUCCAUCCACAUCUUCAAAUAGAUAACCAGGAAGACCUUGACAGCAUCCUAGAAAAGGCUCUGAAAGAAGACAGACGUGAGAGCAAGGGUCCCUGUGAACAGUUAACACAACAAAAUUAAGCUGAACUUUCUUUGUUCCAUGAAGAAAUUGGGAAGGGUCUUAGCACUUGAUAAUGUAUGGCCAAAAAUAUAAAUAGAUAGCAAACAAGCCACACAGGACACAAUCUUCCUUGAAACCUUAAAUAUUACAGCAGAGCUUGCAGAGAAAAUGAUAUGGAUGGUGUCAUCCUAAGUAUGUUUUGUUCUUUGCCUACCAUAUUUUGGUGGUGUUGCAUCCAGCCCUGCUUGCACUGCUGCUGUGUAGUUUCUCUUCAUUUCAGUGGAACACGCCACACAAAUGUGUGGACAUGGUUCAGCCAAAUGGGUCCUUGUGAAUAUUAUGUAGUGGGGGGGACGGGACACCCUGAAACAUUUGUUGUUGCUUUAAAAGUGAUUUCUGUUUGUUUGGAAAUAAUAACCUCACUAAACGUAAUAUGUUAACUUCUAUCAAUGUAAAUAGUGGGCAUUUUUUGGGUUUGUUCCCCCCCCCCACAGGGAUUAAAGCUUUUCGUUUCAACGUAUUCAUGAUACAAAUCACCUUGCAUAAUAAAGGAAGAUAAUUUGCAGUUUGCUCAACUUGCCAAGUGUUACAGAUUGAAGUUAAUUGAUGUGUAUUUAUACAACUUGAAACAUUUAAUCCAUGGGGAUUAGUUUGAGUGCUUUCCUCCUGCAAUAACAGAUGCAGAUUUGGAUGUUAACCUAAUAUAUAUAUAUUUUUUAUUGCAAGCAAAAUGAUUGUUAGGAUGAGGUCCUUUUGGAUGCUGCACCCGAUUCAUCAUGCUCUCGUGCCAAGCAUUGAAGUUAUGUAAUUUUGAAGUUGCAG